UUAAGAUUUGCUCUAUUGAACCUAUAGGUUAUAUGAUUAAUUGAAUGUGUAGAGAUUUGGCACACACUAGAACCUUUUCUGUCUGUGCACGAGAAUGCAUAUUCACUUGAUUUUCAUAGCAUGUUAAAUUGAUUAAAACUUUGAAAGUUAUAGAAGCUGUAAAAAAAAAAAAAAAACGAAAAAUAUGGGAAAAACAUGUAGCAAAGCACAUCCUGUGACACAUGCUAUGGUAUGUACAGGGUGCUCAAAUGUUGAUCCUUAUAUCACAUUUAUGUGUGUGAAUUAUGGGGAAGGAUGUUUGAACCAAUAUGAUGUAUGGGUUAAAGAAUGUGGUUUCCUAGAAAAAGAUAGUUUUCUCUUAGACAGUUAGAACAACUGAAAUUUAACAUGGAAGCAAAGGAGAGAGAUAUUCCUAAAAGUAAAAAAAAAAAAAAAAUAUGCACAGUUUUUGGCUGACUGGAAGGCAUUUGCUGAAUGGCAGAGCGAAGCACAUAAAAGAGAGAAAAAAUGUCAGGCAGGGCCUUCAUCUGUUUCUCAGUGUGCUAAAUUGCAGAAAGCCGAUCCUGACCUGGACUCCGCCCCACUGUGACGCCCACAGCCAGUAAGGAGGAAGGGACCUGCAGUUUCAGAGGCACUUGCUCACGAUGAAGCGGCCCAGCCUACGCCACUCUAUCCGAACCUGUCAGACCUGAGCCACUAACCCCCCACCAAACUAGGCACCUGGGAACAGAAGAGAAGCACCACUCAGAGAGAUGGCAUAUGGCAAUGACAGGUUGGACAGCUCAUUCUCAGAGGGAGAAGGGGAACCACAUGAUUGUGUGGUUCUGACUAACGAACUCUGCUCCCCUAGAGUCGACCUGAAGGAUGUUUCAUUGGAAAACCCAGAUCUGAUCCUUUUUGUGGACGGUUCAGCAUCACGUGAUCCAGAGACAGCUUUCAGACCUCCAAGCACGAGCUACGGUGGAGGAAAAGGCUGUGUGGUGCAAAGCAGGCCGCACGGUUGUUGAUGGAGUUUGGCGGUGCCCCCAGGACUGUCCUUGUCUUCAAAGUUGAUGCAUGGCAGGGACCAUGCGUCUAAAGGGGGCAUAAUAGUUGCAUUAAGCAUUGGUUUCUGUAAUUACUCAAAAACAAAAAAAAAAUUAUUUACGAUUUUUGCGCAACUCAUAAUGUGGGUUGAGGUUUGAAGGCAGAGAAGGCCAUGUCCCUACAUCCAAACAGGACUCAGACGCGGUAGUGAUAAUGGCACACCUUUUGUGAGCCAUGCCCUUAAGUAGGUGGGUGAAUAUUUGGGUAUUGACUUAAAGCAGCACUGUGCGUAUCAUCCAGCUAGUGGUGGGGUGGUAGAGAGAGAAAAUGGGACACUAAAAAACAAACUGAGCAAAUGCUGUUCUGAAGCAAAUAGGAUGGGCUUAGCCCAUUUGGGAUACAGUUUGGGAGACCUCCACACACAGGAAUUGGACCUGUGACAGCUCUUCUUCCCGACGCUGCAGCAUGUGAUGAUGCAAUGUUAAAUUACUGUGCAAUCCUGUCCUCUGCUCUGCAUUCUAUCCACGAGCAUGUAAAGGCAGCGCUUCAAGCUCCAGCCAUGGGUCCGCUGCAUGAUCUGAAGCCCGGAGAGUGGAUCGUGAUCAAGGACUUCCGCAGGACCAGGUGGAACAAGCCACGGUGGUCCCAGAUAAGCCCACAAAAUUCUUUAGUAGACUAUUGCUGCAGAUUGGACGUCAAUUAGUAGUUAAAAGCCCGUAUGAUGUUGGCCGCCUCUGUAAUCCGUUCUGUUUCACCUUUCGUCAGAAGAAUCACUGCCAACAGUGCUACUUGCACAACAUCACAUGUCACCUCAUCACGCAGACACAUAAUGGUUAUUCUAUCAUUGAACACAUGCGAUCUGCAAUAUGCAACCGUCCGCAGAUUUGCGAGACGGGGUUUGAUUGGCUGAACUCAGUACUCGGGGGAUGGGACUCGUGGAUAUUAACCGUCUGCCUACCAAUAGGUGCAAUGAUUCCUCAUGUCUUGCUCUUCUUGCCUUUUAUUGUUUCUCUCAUUCGGAGCAGUCUCUCACGCUCAUUGAAAUCACUAAUGACCAAACACUGAUGUUGACAAAGACUGAUUAUGAUCCCCAUGAUGACCAAUUUGACUUGUAUCCUAAACCUGACUGGGUAUCAGAUUCUCCCAGCAACACUGACGAUGACGUCCCAUUGACAUCCAUUUCAAACCUAUUGUAAAUAUUCCUUUGACCAUGAUGAAUCUUAUUUCACUCUAAAAUAAGCUUGCUUGACGACAGGAUACUUUAUAUCCGCAAAAACAGCCUUAGCGCCUUCAUUAUGUCUGUAUAAUGAUGAAUUCAGUUGAACUGUGAAAGGUUUCUGAAGUUCUGAUGUACUCCCAGCAUAAUAAUUUCUCUGUUAAUUUUAGUUAUCAUAUUUUGUAAUGAUAAAAUGGGGGAAAUUUGAGAGAAAUUAUUCAUUUUUACGUAUUCAUAGUUUUGUUCUUGUUCUGUUCAUGUUCAUCUGAGGAUAACGCCUAAGAAGGCCAUGUCACAUCACUGAGAUCAGUACAGAAUGUUGAUCUGUUUAAAGAGGCACAAACAUGUUCUUCUGUUCAAGGUUCGUCUGCACAUCUUCAAGACCCUAAAACAAAGCCUGUUUGAACUGCCUCAACCUGCUUCUUAUCUGUAUACAGAAGUGUGUCAUGAUCUGCGUUUCAUACAUAUAGUAGUGGCUCAGCACAAGCGCUUCAGAGCACUCUCAUUAUUCUAUCCUGCUUUAUUCUAUCCUGUAUUAGCCAUCUUUCUGUAAUAAACCUUUUUACCUUCA
This is a long non-coding RNA of Ictalurus furcatus (blue catfish), 2813 nucleotides long. RefSeq lists it as uncharacterized. The record is from RefSeq and is a predicted model, not a curated record. The transcript has 4 exons. NCBI's taxonomy places the organism in Eukaryota, Metazoa, Chordata, Actinopteri, Siluriformes, Ictaluridae.